Molecule: non-coding RNA, 184 nt
Filed under: Pseudomonadota bacterium
Lineage: Bacteria; Pseudomonadati; Pseudomonadota
Description: Proteobacteria bacterium (gut metagenome) 6S RNA
Rfam family: 6S / SsrS RNA
About the family: E. coli 6S RNA was the first non coding RNA to be sequenced, but its function was unknown until recently.
Source: RNAcentral
AGCCGCCUGCUGUGUGCGCGGAGUGCCAAAUAUGCUUAAACCCCUAAGACGUUAAAUAGGGACUCGUCCCUGGGGGGAUGACGAGCGCGCCUGCGAGUCCAGGAUACUUGUGCCCCCUAUAAUGAGGCCCACCUGCUUGUCAGGGUGUUUAACGUUAUGGUACAAACGGCAUGGUGGGUGGCUU